UCCGUAGGUGAACCUGCGGAAGGAUCAUUAGAUUGAAUUAUCAUUGUUGCUCGAGUUCUUGUUUAGAUCUUUUACAAUAAUGUGUAUCUUUAUUGGAGAUGUGCGCUUAAUUGCGCUGCUUCAUUAGAGUGUCCCAGUAGAAGUAGUCUUGCUUGAAUCUCAGUCAACGUUUACACCCAUUGGAGUUUUUUUACUUUAAUUUAAUUCUUUCUGCUUUGAAUCGAAAGGUUCAAGGCAAAAAACAAACACAAACAAUUUUAUUUUAUUAUAAUUUUUUAAACUAAACCAAAAUUCCUAACGGAAAUUUUAAAAUAAUUUAAAACUUUCAACAACGGAUCUCUUGGUUCUCGCAUCGAUGAAGAACGUAGCGAAUUGCGAUAAGUAAUGUGAAUUGCAGAUACUCGUGAAUCAUUGAAUUUUUGAACGCACAUUGCGCCCUUGAGCAUUCUCAAGGGCAUGCCUGUUUGAGCGUCAUUUCCUUCUCAAAAGAUAAUUUUUUAUUUUUUGGUUGUGGGCGAUACUCAGGGUUAGCUUGAAAUUGGAGACUGUUUCAGUCUUUUUUAAUUCAACACUUAGCUUCUUUGGAGACGCUGUUCUCGCUGUGAUGUAUUUAUGGAUUUAUUCGUUUUACUUUACAAGGGAAAUGGUAAUGUACCUUAGGCAAAGGGUUGCUUUUAAUAUUCAUCAAGUUUGACCUCAAAUCAGGUAGGAUUACCCGCUGAACUUAAGCAUAUCAAUAAGCGGAGGAAAAGAAACCAACUGGGAUUACCUUAGUAACGGCGAGUGAAGCGGUAAAAGCUCAAAUUUGAAAUCUGGUACUUUCAGUGCCCGAGUUGUAAUUUGUAGAAUUUGUCUUUGAUUAGGUCCUUGUCUAUGUUCCUUGGAACAGGACGUCAUAGAGGGUGAGAAUCCCGUUUGGCGAGGAUACCUUUUCUCUGUAAGACUUUUUCGAAGAGUCGAGUUGUUUGGGAAUGCAGCUCAAAGUGGGUGGUAAAUUCCAUCUAAAGCUAAAUAUUGGCGAGAGACCGAUAGCGAACAAGUACAGUGAUGGAAAGAUGAAAAGAACUUUGAAAAGAGAGUGAAAAAGUACGUGAAAUUGUUGAAAGGGAAGGGCAUUUGAUCAGACAUGGUGUUUUUUGCAUGCACUCGCCUCUCGUGGGCUUGGGCCUCUCAAAAAUUUCACUGGGCCAACAUCAAUUCUGGCAGUAGGAUAAAUCAUUAAGAAUGUAGCUACCUCGGUAGUGUUAUAGCUUAUUGGAAUACUGCUAGCUGGGAUUGAGGACUGCGCUUCGGCAAGGAUGUUGGCAUAAUGGUUAAAUGCCGCCCGUCUUGAAACACGGACCAAGGAGUCUAACGUCUAUGCGAGUGUUUGGGUGUAAAACCCGUACGCGUAAUGAAAGUGAACGUAGGUUGGGGCCUUCGGGUGCACAAUCGACCGACCUUGAUGUUUUCGGAUAGGUUUGAGUAAGAGCAUAGCUGUUGGGACCCGAAAGAUGGUGAACUAUGCCUGAAUAGGGUGAAGCCAGAGGAAACUCUGGUGGAGGCUCGUAGCGGUUCUGACGUGCAAAUCGAUCGUCGAAUUUGGGUAUAGGGGCGAAAGACUAAUCGAACCAUCUAGUAGCUGGUUCCUGCCGAAGUUUCCCUCAGGAUAGCAGAAACUCGUAUCAGUUUUAUGAGGUAAAGCGAAUGAUUAGCGGUACCGGGGAUGAAAUGUCCUUGACCGAUUCUCAAACUUUAAAUAUGUAAGAAGUCCUUGUUGCUUAAUUGAACGUGGACAUAUGAAUGAAGAGUUUCUAGUGGGCCAUUUUUGGUAAGCAGAACUGGCGAUGCGGGAUGAACCGAACGUGGAGUUAAGGUGCCGGAAUGUACGCUCAUCAGACACCACAAAAGGUGUUAGUUCAUCUAGACAGCCGGACGGUGGCCAUGGAAGUCGGAAUCCGCUAAGGAGUGUGUAACAACUCACC
This 1964-nucleotide ribosomal RNA is filed under the name Hanseniaspora opuntiae. RNAcentral describes it as "eukaryotic LSU rRNA". The stretch from base 692 to 1964 matches the Rfam family "Eukaryotic large subunit ribosomal RNA", at positions 1 to 1294 of the family's 3401-position model. Lineage: Eukaryota; Fungi; Ascomycota; Saccharomycetes; Saccharomycodales; Saccharomycodaceae. The record is from RNAcentral.